AAUACAAGAUGCUCAGUUACAUUUGAAUUUCAGAUGAACAACUUUUUAAAUAUAAGUAUGUACCAUACAAUAUUUGGGACAUAAUUAUACUAAACCAUGUUUGUUGUUCAUCUGAAAUUCAAAUUUAACUGGGUGCCUUGUGCUUU
This is a microRNA precursor of Chlorocebus sabaeus (green monkey), 146 nucleotides long. NCBI's taxonomy places the organism in Eukaryota, Metazoa, Chordata, Mammalia, Primates, Cercopithecidae. The record is from Ensembl.